GAUCAACGCUGGCGGCGUGCAUAACACAUGCAAGUCGAACGAUGAAGCUUAAAAGAUUUCUUCGGAAUGAACUUAAUUGGCUUAGUGGCGGACGGGUGAGUAACGCGUGAGUAACCUGCCUUGUACAAGGGGAUAGCCGUUGGAAACGACGAAUAAUACCCUAUGACAUCAAAUAAUCGCAUGAUAAUUUGAUCAAAGAUUUAUCGGUAUAAGAUGGACUCGCGUCUGAUUAGCUAGUUGGUAGAGUAAAAGCCUACCAAGGCAACGAUCAGUAGCCGGCUUGAGAGAGUGUACGGCCACAUUGGGACUGAGACACGGCCCAGACUCCUACGGGAGGCAGCAGUGGGGAAUUUUGCACAAUGGGGGAAACCCUGAUGCAGCGACGCCGCGUGAUUUAGAAGGCCUUCGGGUUGUAAAAAUCUUUUGUAUGGGAAGAAAAUGACAGUACCAUACGAAUAAGGACCGGCUAAUUACGUG
RNAcentral lists this ribosomal RNA (477 nucleotides) under uncultured bacterium. RNAcentral's name for it is "partial 16S ribosomal RNA". It matches the Rfam family "Bacterial small subunit ribosomal RNA", at positions 28 to 507 of the family's 1533-position model. The record is from RNAcentral.